Molecule: long non-coding RNA, 185 nt
Filed under: Dermacentor andersoni
Lineage: Eukaryota; Metazoa; Arthropoda; Arachnida; Ixodida; Ixodidae
Description: uncharacterized LOC126546255
Source: RNAcentral
UACGAGGAGCACCAGUGACCUGUCCCUGCCGCCUACGAGAAACACCCAUGAUAUGCCACGGGUACCUACGAAAAGCAAGGUUAGGAAUUGUGGUGCCCUGACAGCACAUGGGAAGUCUCAAGGAUGGUAUUUUUUGUAUACGUCUUGUUGAACAAAAUACUCAUAAUAAAGAAUUUCGUACCCGA